Molecule: ribosomal RNA, 468 nt
Filed under: uncultured bacterium
Lineage: Bacteria
Description: partial 16S ribosomal RNA
Rfam family: Bacterial small subunit ribosomal RNA
Source: RNAcentral
GACGAACGCUGGCGGCGUGCUUAACACAUGCAAGUCGAACGGAAAGGCCCUGCUUUUGUUGGGUGCUCGAGUGGCGAACGGGUGAGUAACACGUGAGUAACCUGCCCUUGACUUUGUGAUAACUUCAGGAAACUGGGGCUAAUACCGGAUAGGAGCUCCUGCUGCAUGGUGGGGGUUGGAAAGUUUCGGCGGUUGGGGAUGGACUCGCGGCUUAUCAGCUUGUUGGUGGGGUAGUGGCUUACCAAGGCUUUGACGGGUAGCCGGCCUGAGAGGGUGACCGGCCACAUUGGGACUGAGAUACGGCCCAGACGCCUACGGGAGGCAGAAGUGGGGAAUAUUGCACAAUGGGCGGAAGCCUGAUGCAGCAACGCCGCGUGCGGGAUGACGGCCUUCGGGUUGUAAACCGCUUUCGCCUGUGACGAAGCGUGAGUGACGGUAAUGGGUAAAGAAGCACCGGCUAACUACGUG